CGAAGAACCUUACCAAGGCUUGACAUACACCGGAAACGGCCAGAGAUGGUCGCCCCCUUGUGGUCGGUGUACAGGUGGUGCAUGGCUGUCGUCAGCUCGUGUCGUGAGAUGUUGGGUUAAGUCCCGCAACGAGCGCAACCCUUAUCCUGUGUUGCCAGCACGCCCUUCGGGGUGGUGGGGACUCACGGGAGACUGCCGGGGUCAAC
Molecule: ribosomal RNA, 206 nt
Filed under: uncultured Streptomyces sp.
Lineage: Bacteria; Bacillati; Actinomycetota; Actinomycetes; Kitasatosporales; Streptomycetaceae
Description: partial 16S ribosomal RNA
Rfam family: Bacterial small subunit ribosomal RNA
Source: RNAcentral